CACGUAGGGUGCGAGCGUUGUCCGGAAUUAUUGGGCGUAAAGAGCUCGUAGGCGGUGUGUCGCGUCGGCCGUGAAAACCUGCAGCUUAACUGUGGGCUUGCGGUCGAUACGGGCAUCACUGGAGUUCGGCAGGGGAGACUGGAAUUCCUGGUGUAGCGGUGAAAUACGCAGAUAUCAGGAGGAACACCGGUGGCGAAGGCGGGUCUCUGGGCCACUACUGACGCUGAGAAGCGAAAGCAUGGGGAGCGAACAGG
This 254-nucleotide ribosomal RNA is filed under the name uncultured bacterium. RNAcentral's name for it is "partial 16S ribosomal RNA". It matches the Rfam family "Bacterial small subunit ribosomal RNA", at positions 524 to 776 of the family's 1533-position model. The record is from RNAcentral.